Long non-coding RNA from Dioscorea cayenensis subsp. rotundata (Guinea yam), 473 nucleotides. RefSeq lists it as uncharacterized. The transcript has 3 exons. The record is from RefSeq and is a predicted model, not a curated record. NCBI's taxonomy places the organism in Eukaryota, Viridiplantae, Streptophyta, Magnoliopsida, Dioscoreales, Dioscoreaceae.
UGAGAACCCUAGCUUCUCCUCCAUUCAUCCUCUCCCGUCAUUCGAACGAUUAAAGAAAUAUUGAAGUGAGAAAGAGGUGAGGAGGCAAGGUCUUAAACAUAUCCACAAAAGUGGUAGGCUACGGUCUUCAUGUUCUCGACACGGUGGUUUUGAUGGUGACUACAGACUUUAGUCCGACAUUGUAGUAGGGGUCCCAUGGUCUGGUCUGGUCUAAUGGGAGGCGGCGUGGUCAACACUGAGUUUACCGCUAGUUAAGAGGUGCGUAGAGCGAUUGAGAGGGUUUAGUUCUGUUGAGAAACCCAGGGUCACCACACGAGCUCCCCAAUGGCCAACACUAAGAGACGUGUAUUUUGGCGGCUCCAAAUUUAGCCAUGGCCAUGGUUUGAGAUGGAGGGUUUCUUGAGGCUAUCCAUUGAAUUGAUGAUUUUUGGCAUAUUUUUUUUAUGAAACUCUGUUUACAAGAACUUAUUGUA